AGGGCACCACCAGGAGUGGAGCCUGCGGCUCAAUUUGACUCAACACGGGAAAACUUACCCGGCCCGGACACUGGAAGGAUUGACAGAUUGAGAGCUCUUUCUUGAUUCAGUGGGUGGUGGUGCAUGGCCGUUCUUAGUUUGGUGGAGCGAUUUGUCUGGGUUAAUUCCGAUAACGAACGAGACUCUAGCCUACUAAACUAGACGAUCGAUCCCUUUGUUGACGGUCAGUCAGUCAGCUUUCAUAGAAGAGACGGGGCACUCUUUUAGCCCGUAAGAGAUUCGAUAUUACCCGGUUGUGACGUCCCUUGAUCGUUGCGCUGCCCGGCUCUAAAAGGAAUCAUCAGCGAUGAUUACCCCUCGAACGGUAGGGAAACCCGUGAACCCUUCUCGAUGGAUAGAAUAUAUUUUCCCCCGAACAGGAUUCCUGUAGCGCCGACUAACGUGGCGGAUUACUCCUGCCGUUGGGAACACGCCGGCUCUUCAAAAGAUGGGAUUAUAAGGCACUGCAAGGUUGUAGAG
This 519-nucleotide ribosomal RNA is filed under the name uncultured eukaryote. Its description in RNAcentral is "bacterial SSU rRNA". The stretch from base 1 to 463 matches the Rfam family "Eukaryotic small subunit ribosomal RNA", at positions 1161 to 1660 of the family's 1831-position model. The record is from RNAcentral.